This 429-nucleotide ribosomal RNA is filed under the name Chloroflexota bacterium. Its description in RNAcentral is "Chloroflexi bacterium partial 16S ribosomal RNA". It matches the Rfam family "Bacterial small subunit ribosomal RNA", at positions 355 to 776 of the family's 1533-position model. Lineage: Bacteria; Bacillati; Chloroflexota. The record is from RNAcentral.
UGGGGAAUAUUGCACAAUGGGCGCAAGCCUGAUGCAGCCAUGCCGCGUGUAUGAAGAAGGCCUUCGGGUUGUAAAGUACUUUCAGCGGGGAGGAAGGGAGUAAAGUUAAUACCUUUGCUCAUUGACUUUACCCGCAGAAGAAGCACCGGCUAACUCCGUGCCAGCGGCCGCGGUAAUACGGAGGGUGCAAGCGUUAAUCGGAAUUACUGGGCGUAAAGCGCACGCAGGCGGUCUGUCAAGUCGGAUGUGAAAUCCCCGGGCUCAACCUGGGAACUGCAUUCGAAACUGGCAGGCUAGAGUCUUGUAGAGGGGGGUAGAAUUCCAGGUGUAGCGGUGAAAUGCGUAGAGAUCUGGAGGAAUACCGGUGGCGAAGGCGGCCCCCUGGACAAAGACUGACGCUCAGGUGCGAAAGCGUGGGGAGCAAACAGG